This 679-nucleotide long non-coding RNA is filed under the name Homo sapiens (human). RNAcentral describes it as "non-protein coding lnc-WISP1-2:3". Lineage: Eukaryota; Metazoa; Chordata; Mammalia; Primates; Hominidae. The record is from RNAcentral.
UCGGUGUCCUCAUCUGUGAGAACCGACCUAAGAAGUGUCUGUCUGAUAAAGCUGUUGUGAUGAGUUAGUGAAUUCGUACACAUAGAACCUUUAGAACUGUCUUUGACAUGUAGUAAGUCAGCUGUGUAGAUGGUGGGUUUCUCCAGUGUCAGGUCCCUGCCCACAGCAGGAAGAUGACCUGUGCUAGAAGAUGGGGGCUAGGGUGUUGGGGAAGACUUCAGGGACUUGGGAGAGAAAAGGAGAAAUAUUCAGAGAUGAGAAAAGUAGAAGAAAAACCAGCUUUUAAAAGGGGGAGGAGAGAGAAUGAGAAAAAUAACUACUAGAAAGGGAAGGAAAAGAUGAAUAGCCUUUUAGGUACUUCGGGACCUGCUCUGAGACCUCUUGCCUGACGCCCUUGGUUUUUGAUAGAAUUCUAGAGAAGGGGUGAGCCCUUUUGUCUGCCUGGACACAUCCUGUGGGCUUUCCUCUUUCUGAAACUCAGGUCAAGGUGUUCACUGCAUCUCCAGAUUGCUUGUGUGCAUGGGAGGAGGGGGGCAGAGAGUUCUGCUUACAUCGGCUACUGUCCCCUCCACCAGCAGCGUCUUCCAGCAAAGAAGAGCUUCUAACAUGCACCAGACUUUUAGCUUUGGCUGGGAAUAUCGUCUGGGCCAAUAAAGAGUUUUUGGAUGAAAUAACAAAA